This 95-nucleotide transfer RNA is filed under the name Fibroporia radiculosa. It matches the Rfam family "tRNA". Rfam says of the family: Transfer RNA (tRNA) molecules are approximately 80 nucleotides in length. Their secondary structure includes four short double-helical elements and three loops (D, anti-codon, and T loops). Lineage: Eukaryota; Fungi; Basidiomycota; Agaricomycetes; Polyporales; Fibroporiaceae. The record is from Rfam by way of RNAcentral.
GGCGCUAUAGCCAAGUGGUUACGGCGACAGAUUAGAAUGAAUAUCAUGUAAUCUGUUCCUCUUUGAGGGCGCAGGUUCGAGUCCUGCUGGCGUCG